Molecule: long non-coding RNA, 5008 nt
Filed under: Homo sapiens (human)
Lineage: Eukaryota; Metazoa; Chordata; Mammalia; Primates; Hominidae
Description: non-protein coding LINC00839:22
Source: RNAcentral
ACCCUGCUCCAGGCAGCGUGGUCUGUAUGGCUCCGCCCUGGGCAGGAGGAGAAAGAAGAGGGCCAGGCACCACGUGCCUGCACUCUCCCUGGAUGCUGGAGGCUGCUCCGCCGUGGGCAGGAGGAGAAGGAAGAGAACUGGGUGCCGCCUGCCUGCACUCUCUCCGGAUGCUGGAGGCUGGAGGCAGUGAGGCAGCAACAGCGCGAGGGCGAGGCGACUUUGGAGCUGCCUCAUGCAGCGACCUCGCCUUCCGCUGCGCCUCCUCCCAGAACCCAAGAAGCCUGGAACCUGUGGCGUCCAGCCCUGAAAGGAGGAGACGGCAACCCAGCCGCGCGUGAGUCCGGGAGUCUGGGAUACCGGCGGCAGAGGAAGGACAGGCAGGAGUCUCGGCCUCUCGGGGAGCGACGUGCCGGGAAAGGCAGGAGGGCCCCAGCGGUGGGGGCGGGGGUUGCGCGCCGGGGAGGGCGGCCUCAGGCUGGGAGCCUGGCAGAUCGUCUGACUCUCCCCGAGCCCCAUCCCAGGCCGAGCCAGGACCCCUCUGAUGCACAGGCGUCUCAGGAGCCCGUUUCUUUCUUGAAUCCGGGGCCCAGUGCGGCUUGAACCUAGCCCCCGACCUCCUCCUCGCCCUCUCAGAGUCCGCUGGGGUGGGCGCUGAAGGAGCCCGGGUCGGAGAGGAGCCCUCCCCUUCUCUCCUGCGUGGAAGCCCUGCAGCCUCCGUUUCUUUUGGGACUGGGGUCCGGGGCCUUCUGCCUGACCCGGGGUGAGAAAGGGAGCCCUGAUCAGGACCCGGUGAGAGGGCGCUGGAGCCCGGGAGCGGCAGGAGCCUUGAGCGGCAGCCCGGGAAGAGGAUGGGGUCACCUUCUGCCCCAGGUCCCCCACUGCCAGGAUCUCUGUCACCUUCUGGGGGUCCUGUCCCCUGGGGUCCCACCCCCCGGGCUGCCUGUGGGUAUCUCUCAUCUGGAACUGGAAAUAACCCUCUUCAUAGUACGGCUUAGCAAAUAUUUAUUCGCCCAUGCACCCCCCUUUUUUUUCCUUCAUAGUGUUCUUUUUGUCUUGGAUCAUUUGUGUUUUUCCUACAUUGAUGUGAAGCAUUUUUAAAGACACUUUAGAGAUUAGUCCUUUAUUGGUUCAUUUCUAUUGUAGGUUGUUGUUUCCUACUCUGGUCUUUGUUGUUUAAUUUCAGUUUUAAUUUCUUGCUUGGUUUAGUUCAUGUAACAAUAUUUUUCUUAGAAUAUUUGUAUCUGUGUUUGUGAAACAGAACAUCUAUUAUUUCUGGGUUUUUUAUUGUCUGAUCAGAUUGUGUAUUAAUGUAAUGCUGGCUUCUCGAAACAAAUUGAAAAACCAUCCCUUUCGUCUUUCUCUUUGAGAGAGAGUGAGCAGUGUCAAUAUUUUUUUCUUCCUUAAAUAUUUGGAACAUUUUCAAAGUCUGAUCCUGGUGUUUUCCUUGUGGAGCAUUAUUGUUGAUUUGUUGGAUUUUUAAAAUUAGUUAGUUAAUUUUGUUUAAUAUAUAUAGGAGUGUUCUUAUUUUAUGCUAUUUUUGUGCCAGUUUUAGUAAGUUGGGUUCAGCAUCUGUUGCGAUCUCUGUUGUCAGACUUUUGAUCAUAUGUAUUUCACAAAAUUCUCUGAUUAUCUUGUUAUAAUACUGUUAUGUAGAGUUGUUGUUUUGAUUCUGAUACUGGUCACUUGUGUUCUUUCAUCUUUUUUCCUUAAUCAGUUUUGCCUGCACUCUCCCUGGAUGCUGGAGGCUGGAGGCAGUGACGCAGCAACAGCGCGAGGCGACUUUGGAGCGGCCUCAUAUAGCGACCUCGCCUUCCGCUGCGCGUCCUCCCAGAGCCCAAGAAGCCCGGAACCUGUGGCAUCCAUCUCUGAAAGGAGAAGACGGCAACCCAGCCGAGGCACUACUGGGUUGGGGUCUCCACGACCGAGCUGGUCUCAUCAAGUGGCGUCCAACAAGGGGCUCAAACCCGGGUUGAGGGGUUGCUGGAGCGACGGAGAACGUGGAACUACACUGGAGGACACCAGAGUACUCUUAAGCAAUCCCUUGGCCAAAACCAGCAACUGAUUUGGAUACCAUCAAGACACCUGAAAUCUUGUCAUGAGCCAGAUACUGAGGAAGAGAUUUUGGGAAGAACCCAAGGACCCCCCAGUUGCAGCCAUGUCAAGACUGACAAUAAGGAAGACAUCAGUCCCAGCAAGCAACAUUCAUCGGGCACAGCCACCCAUGUGGGGCCAGAUCAAGAAGUUGACACAGAUGGCGGAAGAAAAUCUGAAGAAAGCGGAUGACCAGCUACAAUGAUCUGCAGAUGUGGAUCCCGAAUCCUGCGAGAAGUAGCCCACCAUGACGAAGCUGCCUUUGCUUUUAUCGCUUUGCAAAAACAGAAAAGGGGACAUGCUGGGAACAGGCCCUAAGCCUGUCAUAAACAGGCCUUAAACUGACCAUGAACAGGAUUUCUGCACGAAUGUGACGUGCUCCUGAUGGCUAUGACGCCCACUGCUAGAAGUUGUUAGUUUACUGGAGCAGGGUAGGGAACACCUGGCCCACCCGGAGCGGAAAACUGCUCAAACCACAAACAACAGCAUGAGUGGCCUGAGCCUUAACAACAUGUUUUUGCUGCAGAUAAUCGGCCAGAGACUGUUUCUCUACUCCUCUCUAAGUAUGCUUUGUUUUUCGUAAGGAAUGCUUUUAGCUAAUCUGUAACCUAUAGAAACAAUGCUUAUCACUGGCUUGCUGUCAAUAAACAUGUGGGUCAAACUCUGUUUGUGGCUCUCAGCUCUCAAGGCUGUUUUCCCCCUGAUUCCCACUUUGCACUUUAUUUCUGUGUGUUUGUCUUCAUUCCUCUAGCACCACUGGGUUGGGGUCUCCUUGACCAAGCUGGUCUCGGCACAUAUGCAUGUAUGCCCAGGUCCUGAAAUCAGCCUUGUGGAGCCUGUGGGUAGGAAAAGUCAACCCUCUGUGCAUGUAGGCCUGGAACCUGACCAAUACUGUAUUUUCCUACCACGUUUGGUUUCAAAUGUGGAAACUGCCCAUACGGACCUACUGCAUUUGUUUUUAAAAAUCCUCUGUAAGUGGACCUGCACAGUUCAGGCCCAGAUUGUUCCAGGAUCAACCCUACAGUAGAAAUCAAGUAUCUUUUUCAUUGUCUCUUGGGAUCUGCCUUUUCACCAAUAAAAUAUGAGGGCUGUUGGGAGCAGGCCCCCCCAAAUCUGGCCAUAAACUGUCCCCAAAACUGGCCAUAAACAAAAUCUCUGCAGCACUAUAACAUGUUCAUAAUGGCCAUAACGCCCAAGUUGGAAGGUUGUGGAUUUACAGGAAUGAGGGCAAGGAACACCUGGCCUGCCCAGGGUGGAAAACCACUUAAAGGCAUUCUUAAGCCACAAACAAUAGCAUGAGUGAUCUGUGCCUUAAGAACAUGCUCCUGCUGCAGUUAACUAGCCCAACAUAUUCCUUUAAUUCAGUCCAUCCCUUCGUUUCCCAUAAGGGAUACUUUUAGUUAAUUUAAUAUCUAUAGAAAGAAUGCUAAUGACUGGUUUGCUGUUAAUAAAUACGUGGGUAAAUCUCUGUUUGGGGCUCUCAACUCUGAAGGCUGUGAGACCCCUGAUUUCCCACUUGACACCUCUAUAUUUCUGUGUGUGUGUCUUUAAUUCCUCUAGCACUGCUGGGUUAGGGUCUCCCUGACCGAGCUGGUCUCAGCAAGUGGAGUCCAUUGUGGGGGCUCAAAUCCAGGUUGAAGGGUCACCGGAGCAACAUUUGGAAAGGAAAACUAGCUGAAGGACAUGUGAAUACUCUUAAAGCAAUCUCCUUGGUGAGUAAGAAGGGGCGCUCGGAAGCGUCAGGGUAACAAUGGGACACGUUUGGGGUCUGGUUUGUUUCACCUUGGAACUUUUUCACACGGAUGAUGAGGAGGAAGGAGAGUUUAAUGAAGUAACAGAAGAGAGUACAGAGCACAUUUAUUUACCAGCUAAAGCUAAAGCAGCAAAGGAGGGAGAGAUUCAUCCUUACCCUUCUGCACCCCCUCAUGAUUAUUUUGAAGAAAAUGACUUUCAAGAUCUUUCUUUUCCAGAGGACACUGGGCGAAAAGUAGUUGCCCCAGUGACUGUUUGAGCAGCACCUCAAGCGACUGCUCUUAGUUCUAUUCACGCAGGAAUUCAGCAAGCUAGAUGAGAGGGUGAUUUAGAGGCUUGGCAGUUCCCUGUUAGAAUACACCACCCCCAGAUCAACAGGGAAAUAUUAUAGCUACAUUUGAGCCUUUUCCUUUUAAAUUACUCAAAGAAUUUAAACAAGCUAUAAAUCAGUAUGGACCAGGUUCUCCUUUUGUAAUGGGACUGUUAAAGAAUGUUGCUGUUUCCAGUUGGAUGAUUCCUACUGACUGGGAUGCUCUUACUCGAGCUUGUCUAACUCCUGCUCAGUUCUUAAAAUUUAAAACUUCGUGGGCAGAUGAAACUGCCAUUCAGGCUGCUUGCAAUGCCCAGGCCCAACCUCAAAUUAGUAUAACUGCAGACCAACUUUUGGGGGUUGGCAACUGGGCUAGUUUAGAUGUCCAAGGGGUCAUGCAGGAUGAUGCCACAGAGCAGCUUAACAGAGUGUGCAUUAAAGCUUGGGAAAAAAAUCACUAUAGGUGUAGAACAAUACCCUUCCUUUAGUGCUAUAAAACAGGGACCAGGAGAACUAUACCUUGAUUUUAUAGCUCGGUUACAGGAGUCUUCUUAAAAAGAUGAUGCAGAUUCGGCUGCUCAGAAUAUAGUGUUGCAGUUAUUAUAUUUCAACAAUGCUAAUCCCAAUUGCCAGGCUGCUCUGCAACCUGUCAGAGGGAAAGCACAUUUAGUUGAUUAUAUCAAGGCCUGUGAUGGUAUCACAGGUAAUCUGCAUAAAGCUACUUUGUUGGCACAGGCAAUGGCAGGACUGAGAGUGGACAAAGGAAAUACUCCAUUUCCUGGAGCUUGUUUUAACUAUGGGAAGCAUGGUCAUACUAAAAAAGAAUGUAGAAAAAAUCAGCGAGCCAGGCUGCCA